This is a non-coding RNA of Rhodanobacter sp. SCN 67-45, 97 nucleotides long. The record is from Rfam. NCBI's taxonomy places the organism in Bacteria, Pseudomonadati, Pseudomonadota, Gammaproteobacteria, Lysobacterales, Rhodanobacteraceae.
CGUCGGUCCCCCCGCGACGAUAGUUCGCAAACUCCGCCAGGUCCGGAAGGAAGCAACGGUAGCGAAUGACUCGGGUGCCGGGGUGUGGCUGGCGGGG